GUGGGGACRRCGCUAAGUCAUCAUUGCCCUUACGACCAGGGCAUCACACGUGCUACAAUGGAGCGUACAGAGGGUCGCGACCCUGCGAAGGUGAGCUAAUCCCAGAAAACGUUUCGUAGUCCGGAUUGCAGUCUGCAACUCGACUGCAUGAAGUCGGAAUCGCAUGUAAUCGCGAAUCAGCAUGUCGCGGUGAAUACGUUCCCGGGCCUU
This 210-nucleotide ribosomal RNA is filed under the name unidentified marine eubacterium p712-1. Its description in RNAcentral is "partial 16S ribosomal RNA". It matches the Rfam family "Bacterial small subunit ribosomal RNA", at positions 1173 to 1382 of the family's 1533-position model. The record is from RNAcentral.